UCCGCUCGCAGCUCCCUAAUUUUCAGGCUGAUUCUGCCUCCGUGAUCCUUCUUUCUCUCCCCGGAUCGAGGAAAACAGCGCCGCCUCCUCCCUUCUCCCACAAUGACGCAACCCCCAAUCCUCAGCCGAACUGCCCUCACCGGGCACUCUCCCCGCCGCCCGCACAACGCCCUCAUCGGCGCGCUCUUCGCCAGAGUGGCCCGAAGCGGCGUGCACUGGAAGCCGGAGCCGGGAAGGAGUGCGGCCACCGCCGGGAGGCAAGGGGAGGCGUGGUGGCGCUCUUUUGGGUCGGCCAUGGAGGUCGUGCGCAAGCCCGUGGCGCGGCGGCACCCGCUCCCCCUCGCCUCUCCGGCCGCAUCGGUAUCCUCCCAAAGGACGAAGUGGGCGCAUGUGUGCCGGCCGGAGAGGCGAACGAGGCCGCGCGCGAGCCUGCGACGCGGAUCCCUCUUCCCCCUGCCGGUUUUUGAAAUCCGCACCGUCGCCGGCAAGGUAACUGCUCUCCUCCGGUUAGGCCCUGGCCUGGGCAUGUGCAGCUGGUGCGAGCAAUCACUGAGCCAUCAGUGAUUCAUUGAUCCCUAUGAUUCACUCUCUAAUUUGCAUUGGUCAGUAAAAGAUCCUCCUCUAUAAGCGGAGCUGGUUGCUUUGCUUUGUAUCCGAUCUAAUUUGUGCUUUACUUCUUUUUGGGUUGUACUAAUUCUCCAUAUGCUCCACUUGAGAGAGCAAGAGAAGGUUACUCUACUCCAUUAUCUACUAAUUCCGGCAAUCAAGGUCAAUACAUGUUACAUCUAUCAGGGUCACUAAUCAGUACUACUAAUUUCAGAGAAGACCUGUAUAGCAGUACUACUCCAUCGACAAGCGUUCGUUGAUGGAUUUCUUCCACACCUAUGUGGUGUUGUGCCAUGGUCGCUCUCCCUCCUCCAGGUUUGAUUUUUCAAGUUUCAUGCCUUUGUGUUUUAAGAUGUCAUCCCAAAAGUAUUUGUAACAUAAAAAAACAAAGAAAGAGAAGAUUAACACGUGAGUUUAUAAAUUCUCAAAAGGAAGUCAUUGAAGAAAUUUUAGGACAAAUAUAAGGUCUAAUUGGCACUUGAACCGGCAAAGGGCCUCACUUUGUUAUCUUGCACAGGGACUCAGCCAAGUCCGGCCUGGCCAUGCCUCCGUCCUUCCGCCUUGCCGGUUGCGUGUGUGUGCUGUCUGUGCUUGACGCUGGUGCUUGUUGGCUUGUCACUGGGUGCUUGUCGCUGCUGGCCUGCUGCUGCUUUGCUGUAUAUAUUUGUAUAAUGUUUGCAUCUUGUAUGCAGCUAUGCUUUGUUUCAUAUUGACAUUGUUAAGUUGCUACUGCUGACCUGUUGAUGUUGUUGCUUACUGCUGCUGUCCUUCUGAUGUUGCUGCUGUGCUGGUCAGGGAGUGAGUCCAGAGAUACACAACAUUCAAUUAUGAGGAUCUAGGAAAUUAAUGAUCAUUCAGUCGUUGAUGAUAUAAAAAGAGGCAUGAAGGCAACAAAGGGGCAGUAUUUUGAUCUCAUGUCAUCUCGCACAUAGAUUAUUUGUUCUUCUUUACGUACCAUUUUAUUAAUUAUUUAUAUAUACCCACCAUACCGUCGUAUUACUGUUUCUUGAAAUUACCAUAUCCCCAUUUUCUUAUCGCCGUAUCCGUAACGCCGGUGCUUCAUAGCUAUGAAGCAUGAGUCUACAAUGAUCUAUUUUCAGACAUGCACAUGUUCUAUCAAGAAGUUCCGUUUGCAAUUUUCUUAUAUAAGUUUCAUUGAUGACAAUAAUGAUCGAUCCAUGUUCAUAGCUAUGUACAUGUUUCACUGGUAUUACCAUUGUUCAUAGUGUAAGCAUAUUAAACAGUUAUAUGCUUAUUGCACUACAAAGUGUAAACUAUUUAUAAUGUUCCAUCAUUUGACAGAGCAAUGCUAAAGUACUAAAGUAUCAAGUGAUUGAAUACACUGAAAAAGCUUUGCAAAGUAGAGAACCUCUUUUUUAGCCUCCACCAAUUUAUUGUUCUCCUUGUGUUGCUUGGAUAAAAUGAAAUGCAUACUAUACUGCUACUGCUACUGAGACUUGUCACAAUUUCUGUAUCCUGUGUUAGAAUGAGACUCACAGUUCACAAUUCAGGUGGAAGUUAAUCAAUUUCCUAAGGAUAAACUUCAUACUUGAAUUUACGUUGUGUAAUGUGUGACAAAUGUGAACGUUGCCAGCGUCUGAUUUGUGCCCUUUUAAAUUUCAAAUGGGGUGAUUCCAAAGAAGCAGAUUAAACUUGCCCUAAGUGCUGUGUUUGGGAGAUCGAGCAUGGCUUACGUAUGCCUUUGCCACAAAAUUCUGUUCUUGAGGCUAAAGAUCUGCCAAGGGCCAUGCUUAGCGAUCAUAUAGAAGAACAACUCUUUAAACGGCUCAAUGAAGAGAAACACGAACGGGCUAUUCAUGAUGGGAAAAGUUUUGAUAAGAUCCUUGUUUCAUGCACGUGCACCUUUUUGGGGAAUCGGGAGCUUUUCCGGACUGAAUAAGUAGAGUUAUAGUCAAGCUAAAGGCUGAAAACGAAGCCAUGAUUCAUAUUUAUCCAAGCACACCUUUGCCGCUCAGGCGAACCAUUUUUUGCACACAGGUGACUGAAAUUUUGAGCCGCGUCAGCCGACAUGUGCCUGAGAAGUAGGUAAGACGGUGCUAAGGCUGAGAUGGAGGCGACAUUGCCUGCCACAACGUCUCCAAGAUGCUGAGCUAGACCUGGACGGAGGCAGGGACGACACUACUUGUGGUGGCGUCUCCAAGAUGAAGAUCUAGGACCUAGAUGGAGGCAGGGACGACACAACUUGUCCCGGCGUCAUCAGCGGAGGACAUGCAGCAGGUUGCGGGGUUUGGGUGGAGGUGAGUUAGAGGGAUGACCGGUGGCAGCAACGGCAACUCGGGCAGACCAGGGCGGCGAAGGUUACAGUGCGAGCGUUCGUGUGUCUGGGGAAGAAGGUUACAGUCCGUUGGAUGCAUAAUAUGGGAGGGCGGAGGGAAAACUGACUGAAGAAAAAAUCUUUUCGAGCCUGAAAUAGUCGCUUUCAAUUGUAACCAUAGAAGCUUGGCACGUUUUGACGAACCAGAGUUGCCUGUGUGUUAUAGAGUUUUUUCUUGCAACUUUAAGGCCUUUGUUUGCUCUAUCUUGAAGACCUUUGUUCUACACGUACUACUAUGGGUUUAAAAGAAAUAGAGUUGUGUGAUUUGACA
Molecule: long non-coding RNA, 3212 nt
Organism: Triticum aestivum (bread wheat)
Lineage: Eukaryota; Viridiplantae; Streptophyta; Magnoliopsida; Poales; Poaceae
Exons: 3
Source: RefSeq, a predicted model, not a curated record